This 64-nucleotide transfer RNA is filed under the name Anthaxia chinensis. RNAcentral's name for it is "tRNA-Asp". The record is from RNAcentral. Lineage: Eukaryota; Metazoa; Arthropoda; Insecta; Coleoptera; Buprestidae.
AAAAAUUUAGUUAAAAAAUAACAUUAGCUUGUCAAGCUAAAAUUAUUAUAGUUAAUAAUUUUUA